GCACCUGAAGGCUUCCCACUCUCUCUGCACACUGGCCCAGGAGCUUAGCAUAACACACUGGCUUCUCGGCUGGACUGAGUUACAGGAGUGCCUGUCUUCACUCUUAAGUCAGGCUUUUCUUCUUGGAUAGACCUGGGAUGUGUGUGAGAUGAGCAAUCUUAUACCAUGACAGCUUCUGAUAAAAGACAGGUGUAAGUCACACAGGCCAGCCGUACAGCCACAGUUUGGGGAAGGAUAAAGCACUGUGUAAAGUGAAUUUUUUUCUCCCUUGAGCUGCUGCGACGGUAGUACCUGCUCUGCAAUCUGCCUCCUCCAUCACAGUAUUGCAAGCUCUCCUAACAUGAGAGAAGUGACAUUUUUCCUUAAUAAGGAUUGGAAGGUCUGAACUAAAACAGUCCCCAGAACCAUAGCAUACUGCUGUUUCAGUGGAAGCUUUGUCUCAUUGACAGUUGCUGUCACUAGCAUCAAUAAUUUAAAGCCACAAACACUAUGAAGUUGUAAAUAAUUUAAAAUAUAUAAUUCAUGUCCAUUCUUAUUGCUGCAGCUCAGUCAGGAUCCAAACUUUUUAAUACCUGUACUUCUACUAAGGUGCACACACAAUACCCAGCCUGCAGCAGUUCCUCCAAACCAGCUCCUAUUAUUUUUAUUUGCUUAGCAUUUUAACAUUAUGUUCUUGAAAGCAGAAGCUCUGGCAUACUGUAGCACACUAGCGUACCAGGUUCUGAAACUUUUUUUUUCUUAAAAGGUUCCCUAGAAGAACAGGAGCACCAUAAAGUCACAGAAACCCCUUAAAUAAAUAAUAAUUUGAUUUAAAAAAAAAUGUGCCCAGAAUUCUCACUGCUUACCGAAAUGUUAUACAAAAAUAUAUUGAAUCAAAAUAAGAUUUUUUCAACUCUGAGCAAUACUAAAACAAACAAGAACUCCCCCAAAAAAAUCAAAACAAAACCUAACUCUCAUUUUAAAGUUGUCUGGAUUUUCUUCCUUCUUUGUAGAAUAAGAAAGCAAGCUGGAUGGAAAGAAACCUUGUAAAGUCUUCUUUAAGGGCAAGUUUCUGACAAGAACCCUUUCCAGUACCUUCAGGUUUCUUUCCUGAUAUGAAAUGUUCACAAAUCAGAUGUUAAUCAGCUACCCAAGUGGGGUUAGGUAAGUCUCCCAGGUGACAAGUGCCUUUGAACCACAGACAUUCCAGUAUUGUUGAGAGAUACUGAGGAACUGCUGCUUGCUUUUCAAAAGGAAACAUGAGUGCAGUUGUCACUGCAGGAGAAUAUUCUUGUUACCAAUAUAAUUUGCAUGCAUUAAUGUUUUUUACCUGUAUAGGUGAGGUUGCUUUUCUGAACAAGGACAUUGUACUCAGUUACUAAUACCCUGUUUUUCUGAUGAAGAUUAUGACAUUCUUCUGCUGUGGGACUCAUAGAGUUCAGAAAAGGGGGGCAGGGGGAUCUUUACUUUUUUGUUCAUUUUCUUCUAAAAGGAAAGAAAAGUUGGCAGGCUUUAUUGCAUCUCUUUUCAGCUGCAGUAAGUUUCAGAGCCUCUAAAAGAAAAAGUGGUUUGCGUGCUGACUAGCUCUAAAAAAAAAGUAAAUCUAAAAUAGUUGUGAGGGCACAAGAAAUCCCUAGAUACAGAAAGAAAAAUACUCUAAAGACGUUUCAGUCUUUCUUUUCCUAUAAACUUUUCCCAAGUUCUUCUCAUUUCACUUGUCCUCCCAGCAGCCUUAUGUAGAAACUGUUCCCUUUUCACCAAUAACAUCUCAAUCCUAAAGAAGAGCUGCCCUAGUGAGAUCAGAUCAGAUAACGGGUGAUGUUCUUAUUCACCUAGACAGAACUGAUUGGUUUUGUUCAUUUAUUUAUUUUUAAACAAUGUGUGUUCUUGGUUGCUCAAACUGCAGUUUAAUC
Long non-coding RNA from Pogoniulus pusillus (Red-fronted tinkerbird), 1892 nucleotides. RefSeq lists it as uncharacterized. The transcript has 4 exons. NCBI's taxonomy places the organism in Eukaryota, Metazoa, Chordata, Aves, Piciformes, Lybiidae. The record is from RefSeq and is a predicted model, not a curated record.